ACUCUCUACUAAUUGGAAGGUCCCUAGCAAGGAGAAGAGGUCAUUGGAACAAGUAGAACAUUUAUUGUUGCAAGAUCAACAUUCUAGCCAAGUGGGAAAUUGAAGAAAAAGGAUUUUGGCGGAUUUGGAACGUGAAUUUGGAGUCGCAUAAGAAGCAGAAAAGGUACACCAGAUGAGCCACAGCUAUCAUAGAAGAUGUUCCAGCGGAGUUGGCAGGCUCCACUUGUUCUGGAGUGCUGCCGAGUCAGAGUGUCUGAGCCAUGAUGUUUGUUUGAUGUUAGAGACUUUGCAGACAGAGUCGUGGGUAUAGAGUGUCGAUAAUAUGUUGUAUCAUAAAGUCCAUGUGAUUGCAGAUUCUGUUUGACUUGAGUACG
Long non-coding RNA from Lycium barbarum (goji berry), 374 nucleotides. RefSeq lists it as uncharacterized. The record is from RefSeq and is a predicted model, not a curated record. The transcript is spliced from 3 exons. NCBI's taxonomy places the organism in Eukaryota, Viridiplantae, Streptophyta, Magnoliopsida, Solanales, Solanaceae.